GAUGAACGCUGGCGGCGUGCUUAACACAUGCAAGUCGAACGGAAAGGCCCCUGCUUGCUGGGGUACUCGAGUGGCGAACGGGUGAGUAACACGUGGGUGAUCUGCCCUGCACUUCGGGAUAAGCCUGGGGAACCGGGUCUACUAUCGGAUAGGACGCUGGUUUGGAUGCCAUUGUGGAAAGGUUGUUCGGUGUGGGAUGAGCUCGCAGCCUAUCAGCUUGUUGGUGGGGUAAUGGCAUACCAAGGCGUCGAUGGGUAGCCGGCCUGAGAGGGUGUACGGCCACAUUGGGACUGAGAUACGGCCCAGACUCCUACGGGAGGCAGCAGUGGUGAAUAUUGCACAAUAGGCGCAAGCAUGAUGCAGCGACGCCGCGUGGGGGAGGACGGCCUUCGGGGUGUAGACUCCUUUCGCUAGGGACGAAGCACAAGUGACGGUACCUGGAGAAGAAGCACCGGCUAACUACGUG
This 466-nucleotide ribosomal RNA is filed under the name uncultured bacterium. RNAcentral describes it as "partial 16S ribosomal RNA". It matches the Rfam family "Bacterial small subunit ribosomal RNA", at positions 28 to 507 of the family's 1533-position model. The record is from RNAcentral.